This 253-nucleotide ribosomal RNA is filed under the name uncultured bacterium. RNAcentral's name for it is "partial 16S ribosomal RNA". It matches the Rfam family "Bacterial small subunit ribosomal RNA", at positions 524 to 776 of the family's 1533-position model. The record is from RNAcentral.
UACGUAGGGUGCGAGCGUUGUCCGGAAUUACUGGGCGUAAAGAGCUCGUAGGUGGUUUGUCGCGUUGUUCGUGAAAACUCACAGCUCAACUGUGGGCGUGCGGGCGAUACGGGCAGACUGGAGUACUGCAGGGGAGACUGGAAUUCCUGGUGUAGCGGUGGAAUGCGCAGAUAUCAGGAGGAACACCGAUGGCGAAGGCAGGUCUCUGGGCCACUACUGACGCUGAGAAGCGAAAGCGUGGGGAGCGAACAGG